This 80-nucleotide transfer RNA is filed under the name Candidatus Veblenbacteria bacterium. RNAcentral's name for it is "tRNA-Leu". It matches the Rfam family "tRNA", at positions 7 to 64 of the family's 71-position model. Rfam says of the family: Transfer RNA (tRNA) molecules are approximately 80 nucleotides in length. Their secondary structure includes four short double-helical elements and three loops (D, anti-codon, and T loops). Lineage: Bacteria; Candidatus Vebleniibacteriota. The record is from RNAcentral.
CGGACGUGGCGGAAUUUGGUAUACGCGCAGGCUUGAGGUGCCUGUGGGGGAAACCCUGUGGAGGUUCAAGUCCUCUCNNA